ACUCCUACGGGAGGCAGCAGUGGGGAAUAUUGCACAAUGGGCGCAAGCCUGAUGCAGCCAUGCCGCGUGUGUGAAGAAGGCCUUCGGGUUGUAAAGCACUUUCAGUCGUGAGGAAGGCGGAGUCGUUAAUAGCGGCCUCGUUUGACGUUAGCGACAGAAGAAGCACCGGCUAACUCCGUGCCAGCAGCCGCGGUAAUACGGAGGGUGCGAGCGUUAAUCGGAAUUACUGGGCGUAAAGCGCAUGCAGGUGGUUUGUUAAGUCAGAUGUGAAAGCCCGGGGCUCAACCUCGGAAUUGCAUUUGAAACUGGCAGACUAGAGUACUGUAGAGGGGGGUAGAAUUUCAGGUGUAGCGGUGAAAUGCGUAGAGAUCUGAAGGAAUACCGGUGGCGAAGGCGGCCCCCUGGGACAGAUACUGACACUCAGAUGCGAAAGCGUGGGGGAGCAAACAGGAUUAGAUA
This 459-nucleotide ribosomal RNA is filed under the name uncultured bacterium. RNAcentral describes it as "bacterial SSU rRNA". It matches the Rfam family "Bacterial small subunit ribosomal RNA", at positions 335 to 784 of the family's 1533-position model. The record is from RNAcentral.